AAAGUCGUAACAAGGUUUCCGUAGGUGAACCUGCGGAAGGAUCAUUAUUGAGUAUAAAGGGGAUUAUUGGUUUUAAACUAGUAGUCCCUUCUUUUCUCAACCCUUUUGUUAUUAUUUCUUAGUUGCUUUGGUAGUAAGACUUGUCUUCUACCAAAGAAAACUUAUAAACACUUUGUUAUCCAACAAUUGGAAAUCUAUUGUCUGAUUUAUUACUUAAUGUAUAUAAAACUUUUAACAACGGAUCUCUUGGUUCUG
RNAcentral lists this unclassified non-coding RNA (255 nucleotides) under Ascomycota sp. RNAcentral's name for it is "partial contains small subunit ribosomal RNA, internal transcribed spacer 1, and 5.8S ribosomal RNA". The stretch from base 1 to 47 matches the Rfam family "Eukaryotic small subunit ribosomal RNA", at positions 1785 to 1831 of the family's 1831-position model. The record is from RNAcentral. Lineage: Eukaryota; Fungi; Ascomycota.